This is an RNA transcript of Argentina anserina (silverweed cinquefoil), 797 nucleotides long. RefSeq lists it as uncharacterized. The record is from RefSeq and is a predicted model, not a curated record. Lineage: Eukaryota; Viridiplantae; Streptophyta; Magnoliopsida; Rosales; Rosaceae. The transcript has 7 exons.
CGAAUGCUUUUCUUGGAUAUGGGCCAGAUAAUUCCCAUUUCGCCAUUGAACUCACUUACAAUUAUGGGGUGGACAAGUAUGAUAUUGGAACUGCAAUUGGCCAUUUUGGCAUUUUUGUUGAGGAUGUGAGCCAUAUCCGAUUCUUAUAUAGAGUCUUGUUGUUACUGUCUUUGCAUUGUUUUGGAUUCUUCUUAGUGAAUGACCUUCUAGGACAUAGUAUAUAUGUUUGUGUUGUUAGGUUGCUAAGACUGUGGAACUUGUAAAAGCUAAGGGUGGAAAGGUAACCCGAGAACCAAGCCAGAGAGCUACUAUUGGAAAUUCACUGAUUUGCUGGUUCACUGAUGAAUGACGUGCAGGACUUGACUCUUAUCAGAGACUCAUUGAUUCACAUCUUCAUCUUUUGGCUGCUCUUUAAGAGUUGGCAAGCAAUAUGGUGGAAGGGUUUAGAGAGUUCAGUGCAAUCUUUGAGGGAGAUGGUGUUCACCAACGAUGUGCAGAAUGGUCUCCUAGCACCCUCUAUAUUUGCAGUAGGUUUGAAAUAGACGCCAAGCUGUCUCACGUAGAUAUAUUGCUGACAUGAAAAAUUACAUGAUUGAAGAUGUAGAUGAAGAUACUGAAGUGCCUUGUGCUAUUUGUGCGGAUGCUUGAAGUCUGCUCCUCCCAUGUGGUGUCCUCCCAUGCUUGCGCCCGUGUACAACUGCUGCUUGUAGUACUUUAUGGCACUUUUGUGUUGCAAGGAUAAUAUAUAUCAUGGAAUGUAAACUAUUAGAAAGAAGCAAUAUAAACCUUUUGAUAUU